RNAcentral lists this ribosomal RNA (376 nucleotides) under uncultured soil bacterium. Its description in RNAcentral is "bacterial SSU rRNA". It matches the Rfam family "Bacterial small subunit ribosomal RNA", at positions 26 to 399 of the family's 1533-position model. The record is from RNAcentral.
AGAUUGAACGCUGGCGGCAGGCCUAACACAUGCAAGUCGAGCGGUAGAGAGGUGCUUGCAUCUCUUGAGAGCGGCGGACGGGUGAGUAAUGCCUAGGAAUCUGCCUAGUGGUGGGGGAUAACGUUCGGAAACGGACGCUAAUACCGCAUACGUCCUACGGGAGAAAGCGGGGGACCUUCGGCCUCGCGCCAUUAGAUGAGCCUAGGUCGGAUUAGCUAGUUGGUGAGGUAAUGGCUCACCAAGGCGACGAUCCGUAACUGGUCUGAGAGGAUGAAUCAGUCACACUGAACUGAGACACGGUCCAGACUCCGUACGGGACGGCAGCAGGUAGGGAAUAGUUGGACAAGUGGGACGAAAGCCGUGAAAAAACUCCACG